UGGCUCAGGAUGAACGCUGGCGGCGUGCCUAAUACAUGCAAGUCGAACGAGUUCUCGUUGAUGAUCGGUGCUUGCACCGAGAUUCAACAUGGAACGAGUGGCGGACGGGUGAGUAACACGUGGGUAACCUGCCCUUAAGUGGGGGAUAACAUUUGGAAACAGAUGCUAAUACCGCAUAGAUCCAAGAACCGCAUGGUUCUUGGCUGAAAGAUGGCGUAAGCUAUCGCUUUUGGAUGGACCCGCGGCGUAUUAGCUAGUUGGUGAGGUAAUGGCUCACCAAGGCGAUGAUACGUAGCCGAACUGAGAGGUUGAUCGGCCACAUUGGGACUGAGACACGGCCCAAACUCCUACGGGAGGCAGCAGUAGGGAAUCUUCCACAAUGGACGCAAGUCUGAUGGAGCAACGCCGCGUGAGUGAAGAAGGCUUUCGGGUCGUAAAACUCUGUUGUUGGAGAAGAAUGGUCGGCAGAGUAACUGUUGUCGGCGUGACGGUAUCCAACCAGAAAGCCACGGCUAACUACGUGCCAGCAGCCGCGGUAAUACGUAGGUGGCAAGCGUUAUCCGGAUUUAUUGGGCGUAAAGCGAGCGCAGGCGGUUUUUUAAGUCUGAUGUGAAAGCCCUCGGCUUAACCGAGGAAGCGCAUCGGAAACUGGGAAACUUGAGUGCAGAAGAGGACAGUGGAACUCCAUGUGUAGCGGUGAAAUGCGUAGAUAUAUGGAAGAACACCAGUGGCGAAGGCGGCUGUCUGGUCUGUAACUGACGCUGAGGCUCGAAAGCAUGGGUAGCGAACAGGAUUAGAUACCCUGGUAGUCCAUGCCGUAAACGAUGAAUGCUAGGUGUUGGAGGGUUUCCGCCCUUCAGUGCCGCAGCUAACGCAUUAAGCAUUCCGCCUGGGGAGUACGACCGCAAGGUUGAAACUCAAAGGAAUUGACGGGGGCCCGCACAAGCGGUGGAGCAUGUGGUUUAAUUCGAAGCAACGCGAAGAACCUUACCAGGUCUUGACAUCUUUUGAUCACCUGAGAGAUCAGGUUUCCCCUUCGGGGGCAAAAUGACAGGUGGUGCAUGGUUGUCGUCAGCUCGUGUCGUGAGAUGUUGGGUUAAGUCCCGCAACGAGCGCAACCCUUAUGACUAGUUGCCAGCAUUUAGUUGGGCACUCUAGUAAGACUGCCGGUGACAAACCGGAGGAAGGUGGGGAUGACGUCAAAUCAUCAUGCCCCUUAUGACCUGGGCUACACACGUGCUACAAUGGAUGGUACAACGAGUUGCGAGACCGCGAGGUCAAGCUAAUCUCUUAAAGCCAUUCUCAGUUCGGACUGUAGGCUGCAACUCGCCUACACGAAGUCGGAAUCGCUAGUAAUCGCGGAUCAGCACGCCGCGGUGAAUACGUUCCCGGGCCUUGUACACACCGCCCGUCACACCAUGAGAGUUUGUAACACCCGAAGCCGGUGGCGUAACCCUUUUAGGGAGCGAGCCGUCU
RNAcentral lists this ribosomal RNA (1476 nucleotides) under Lacticaseibacillus paracasei. RNAcentral's name for it is "bacterial SSU rRNA". It matches the Rfam family "Bacterial small subunit ribosomal RNA". RNAcentral also lists the same sequence under 1 other name. Lineage: Bacteria; Bacillati; Bacillota; Bacilli; Lactobacillales; Lactobacillaceae. The record is from RNAcentral.